GACGAACCGUGCGAACGUUGUUCGGAAUCACUGGGCAUAAAGGGCGCGUAGGCGGCUUAUCAAGUCAGGGGUGAAAUCCGGCAGCUCAACUGUCGAAGUGCCUUUGAUACUGAUGAGCUAGAGGGAGAUAGGGGUAUGGCGGAACUUCCGGUGGAGCGGUGAAAUGCGUUGAUAUCGGAAGGAACGCCGGGUGGCGAAAGCGGCGUACUGGAUCUCUUCUGACGCUGAGGCGCGAAAGCUAGGGGAGCAAACGGG
RNAcentral lists this ribosomal RNA (255 nucleotides) under uncultured bacterium. Its description in RNAcentral is "partial 16S ribosomal RNA". It matches the Rfam family "Bacterial small subunit ribosomal RNA", at positions 524 to 776 of the family's 1533-position model. The record is from RNAcentral.